This is a non-coding RNA of Gossypium arboreum, 105 nucleotides long. NCBI's taxonomy places the organism in Eukaryota, Viridiplantae, Streptophyta, Magnoliopsida, Malvales, Malvaceae. The record is from Rfam.
AUUCCAUGAUGAGGGCACUUCCAUAGUAAUUCUUUGUACCUUUCCAUGCCUUAUAUUAGGACUCUUCAUCCAUUUUUUAGAAGGUAGUAAUUUCAUUCCGUAACU